UACGUAGGGGGCAAGCGUUGUCCGGAUUUAUUGGGCGUAAAGAGCGUGUAGGCGGCCAGACAGGUCUGCUGUGAAAACUCGAGGCUCAACCUCGAGACGCCGGUGGAAACCGUCUGGCUAGAGUCCGGAAGAGGAGAGUGGAAUUCCUGGUGUAGCGGUGAAAUGCGCAGAUAUCGGGAGGAACACCAGUGGCGAAGGCGGCUCUCUAGGCAGAUACUGACGCUGAGACGCGAAAGCAUGAGGAGCAAACAGG
RNAcentral lists this ribosomal RNA (253 nucleotides) under uncultured bacterium. Its description in RNAcentral is "partial 16S ribosomal RNA". It matches the Rfam family "Bacterial small subunit ribosomal RNA", at positions 524 to 776 of the family's 1533-position model. The record is from RNAcentral.